GCGGGUGUAGUUCAAUGGUAGAAUAUCAGCCUUCCAAGCUGAUUACGUGGGUUCGAUUCCCAUCACCCGCUCCA
RNAcentral lists this transfer RNA (74 nucleotides) under Oscillospiraceae bacterium. RNAcentral describes it as "tRNA-Gly". It matches the Rfam family "tRNA". Rfam says of the family: Transfer RNA (tRNA) molecules are approximately 80 nucleotides in length. Their secondary structure includes four short double-helical elements and three loops (D, anti-codon, and T loops). The record is from RNAcentral. Lineage: Bacteria; Bacillati; Bacillota; Clostridia; Eubacteriales; Oscillospiraceae.